CUCUCCUUGAGAGCACUGCAGGAACAACAUGGGCAGAAGCAAGUCUCUGGUAUAUGCAUUAUAAACACAUUCUUUUGGAAUCUCAUCCUGGAUUGUAUUUUGACUUUGAUUAUAUUAGAAACGACUCUUUUCAAAGACUCAUCUCCAUGUGACUCCUGGCCCUGCUUCCAUGGCAGCCUUCAGCAGUGUUGUGGCUGUCCUGGCUUCUGCACAAGCUGCUUUGACUUUUCAUGGCUUUAAUACAGCCCAGUGCUAUCCCACACUGAUUUCACUCCUAAAAAUUAAAUAUUCCUUAUGUCA
Poecile atricapillus (Black-capped chickadee) is the source of this 300-nucleotide long non-coding RNA. RefSeq lists it as uncharacterized. The transcript is spliced from 2 exons. The record is from RefSeq and is a predicted model, not a curated record. Lineage: Eukaryota; Metazoa; Chordata; Aves; Passeriformes; Paridae.